Molecule: long non-coding RNA, 855 nt
Organism: Dunckerocampus dactyliophorus (ringed pipefish)
Lineage: Eukaryota; Metazoa; Chordata; Actinopteri; Syngnathiformes; Syngnathidae
Exons: 3
Source: RefSeq, a predicted model, not a curated record
UUUAAAAAAGACACGUCGCGGCUAGCUAGAAGUUAGCACAGAGUCGUAUAGAAGAGCUAACGGUGUGGUUUCCACCUCUUGAACCACACUACACAGGGAAGCUGAGCAGCUAGCCAGCAGGCUAACAAACUAGCCUGCUAACUAACUGCCAGGGGAACUAGCUAGCAAGCUGGUGAACAAAGGCAGAUGUCAGUGGCGGCCAGACAAGAAGUCUGUUCCGGCUUUGAGGCUAAGCAGUGAGGGGGUGGCAAUGCGGGGGUGGUCUGUCUGUAGCUCCGUCUGGUUCACUAAUAAAAGGAAAGUACGCUACCAGUCAGUCCGAAGAGCCCAAUAGAACCCCCCUCCUUCUACAAACCGAACCGCGUAGGCCCCAUGUAGAAGCCAGUAGUUACCUCCGGUUCCGUCCGAGUUCUCGUUCAAACUGCCCGAGGAGUCAUGGUGGCUCCCCACACAGCCACCCAUGGAUGGUUCGGCACAGCAGCCCGGGCUGGGUAGCUCGCCCACCAACCGGUACGCGGCUAAGGGCUACAUGGGCUAACUAUCCCCGUUCUCGUCCCCUUUUUCUCUGUCCUGCUCCCUCGCCUCCUUCACUUGCACCCUCUGUGCGGCUAGGUUUCUCGUCGGUGGGAGGGUUGUGACCAAAAAGAGGGUUGACGCUGCUCCUGUGUCGCCAUUCGGACCCCCCCAAACAAAAACAAAAAAACACCACAUCAGUCUGCCAGGACUUACCAGUACCCCACCUCCACCAUGCUGGCAUCUGUACGUUCAUGCACACUCCAGCGUACCUGCGACCCGGUGAGGAUAAGCGGCAUAGAAGAUGGAUGGAUGGAUGGGUAUAUUCAUUGCAAUAAAAAG